This 682-nucleotide ribosomal RNA is filed under the name uncultured bacterium. RNAcentral describes it as "bacterial SSU rRNA". It matches the Rfam family "Bacterial small subunit ribosomal RNA", at positions 123 to 823 of the family's 1533-position model. The record is from RNAcentral.
AACCUGCCCUGUACAGGGGGAUAACAGUUAGAAAUGACUGCUAAAACCGCAUAAGCGCACAUUGUCGAGUGACAGAGUGUGAAAAACUCCGGUGGUAUGAGAUGGACCCGCGUCUGAUUAGCUAGUUGGUGAGGUAACGGCCCACCAAGGCGACGAUCAGUAGCCGGCCUGAGAGGGCGACCGGCCACAUUGGGACUGAGACACGGCCCAGACUCCUACGGGAGGCAGCAGUGGGGGAUAUUGCACAAUGGGGGAAACCCUGAUGCAGUGACGCCGCGUGAGUGAAGAAGUAAUUCGUUAUGUAAAGCUCUAUCAGCAGGGAAGAAACAGACGGUACCUGAGUAAGAAGCCCCGGCUAACUACGUGCCAGCAGCCGCGGUAAUACGUAGGGGGCAAGCGUUAUCCGGAUUUACUGGGUGUAAAGGGAGCGUAGACGGCUGUGCAAGUCUGAAGUGAAAGCCCAGGGCUCAACCCUGGGACUGCUUUGGAAACUGUGGAGCUAGAGUGCUGGAGAGGUAAGUGGAAUUCCUAGUGUAGCGGUGAAAUGCGUAGAUAUUAGGAGGAACACCAGUGGCGAAGGCGGCUUACUGGACAGUAACUGACGUUGAGGCUCGAAAGCGUGGGGAGCAAACAGGAUUAGAUACCCUGGUAGUCCACGCGGUAAACGAUGAAUACUAGGUGU